CAAAGAUCUGUACAAGGAUGUCAUGAUGGAGGAUCACCAGCCCCUCACAUCGCCAGUUAAGGAAGAGACAAGAACACCGGAGAGAUGUCAGAGUCCUCUUUUUUCACAGGAUGUUUCAGAAGAACAUCACAAUGUCCCACGGGAUGAUCAGCUUGUGAAUCCGGAUGAAGAUCUGAACAAUAUUAAUCCU
Molecule: long non-coding RNA, 190 nt
Organism: Bufo bufo (common toad)
Lineage: Eukaryota; Metazoa; Chordata; Amphibia; Anura; Bufonidae
Exons: 3
Source: RefSeq, a predicted model, not a curated record